GAUGAAGAACGUAGCGAAAUGCGAUACGUAAUGUGAAUUGCAAAUUCAGUGAAUCAUCGAAUCUUUGAACGCACAUUGCGCCCUUUGGUAUUCCAAAGGGCAUGCCUGUUCGAGCGUCAUUUGUACCCUCAAGCUUUGCUUGGUGUUGGGCGUCUUGUCUCUAGCUUUGCUGGAGACUCGCCUUAAAGUAAUUGGCAGCCGGCCUACUGGUUUCGGAGCGCAGCACAAGUCGCACUCUCUAUCAGCAAAGGUCUAGCAUCCAUUAAGCCUUUUUUUCAACUUUUGACCUCGGAUCAGGUAGGGAUACCCGCUGAACUUAAGCAUAUCAAUAAGCGGAGGA
Molecule: unclassified non-coding RNA, 340 nt
Filed under: soil metagenome
Description: partial contains 5.8S ribosomal RNA, internal transcribed spacer 2, and large subunit ribosomal RNA
Rfam family: 5.8S ribosomal RNA (bases 1-119)
Source: RNAcentral